Molecule: long non-coding RNA, 254 nt
Organism: Hordeum vulgare subsp. vulgare (domesticated barley)
Lineage: Eukaryota; Viridiplantae; Streptophyta; Magnoliopsida; Poales; Poaceae
Exons: 3
Source: RefSeq, a predicted model, not a curated record
UUAUUAAUAGAUCAAGACAACACCGGAUAUGCUGGCGAUGACUCUAGUAGUGAUGAUGAAUCUUCGUCAUUGAAUGCAAAUAAAUCACUCGGACACAACUAUAUGAGUCAGGAUGAAUCAUAUAGUGGUAAUGUGCAUGCUAAUGAUGACAAUGACGAUUAUGACAGCGAUGAUCAAUCUUAUGCUGAAAGUGGAACCCAGAGAAAUACCGAUGGUGACGCUGAGACGAGAACCUUACAUGAUGACAAUGAUGA